This 401-nucleotide small RNA is filed under the name Pongo abelii (Sumatran orangutan). RNAcentral describes it as "processed transcript". Lineage: Eukaryota; Metazoa; Chordata; Mammalia; Primates; Hominidae. The record is from RNAcentral.
GCGGCCGCUCCUUCUCCGACCCCACUUCCAAGAUGCGCCACCUGGAGACCCACGACACGGACAAGGAGCACAAGUGCCCACACUGCGACAAGAAGUUCAACCAGGUAGGGAACCUGAAGGCCCACCUGAAGAUCCACAUCGCUGACGGGCCCCUCAAGUGCCGAGAGUGUGGGAAGCAGUUCACCACCUCAGGUAGGGCCAGGGCUGCCCUGGCUGCCCUCACACCCCUGCUCCUCAGCCACCGGUGGUGCCCCACGCCAGGUUCGCCCUCGGUCUCGCCACAGGGAACCUGAAGCGGCACCUUCGGAUCCACAGCGGGGAGAAACCCUACGUGUGCAUCCACUGCCAGCGACAGUUUGCAGACCCCGGCGCUCUGCAGCGGCACGUCCGCAUUCACACAG